GCCCGGGUGGUGAAAUCGGUAGACACAAGGGACUUAAAAUCCCUCGCUCUAACAGGCGUGCCGGUUCAAGUCCGGCCCCGGGCA
This 84-nucleotide transfer RNA is filed under the name Herminiimonas fonticola. It matches the Rfam family "tRNA". From Rfam's summary of the family: Transfer RNA (tRNA) molecules are approximately 80 nucleotides in length. Their secondary structure includes four short double-helical elements and three loops (D, anti-codon, and T loops). The record is from Rfam by way of RNAcentral. Lineage: Bacteria; Pseudomonadati; Pseudomonadota; Betaproteobacteria; Burkholderiales; Oxalobacteraceae.